Molecule: ribosomal RNA, 492 nt
Filed under: uncultured bacterium
Lineage: Bacteria
Description: partial 16S ribosomal RNA
Rfam family: Bacterial small subunit ribosomal RNA
Source: RNAcentral
AGUGAACGCUGGCGGUAGGCCUAACACAUGCAAGUCGAACGGCAGCACAGUAAGAGCUUGCUCUUACGGGUGGCGAGUGGCGGACGGGUGAGGAAUACAUCGGAAUCUACUUUUUCGUGGGGGAUAACGUAGGGAAACUUACGCUAAUACCGCAUACGACCUACGGGUGAAAGCAGUGGAUCUUCUGACCUUGCGCGAUUGAAUGAGCCGAUGUCGGAUUAGCUAGUUGGCGGGGUAAAGGCCCACCAAGGCGACGAUCCGUAGCUGGUCUGAGAGGAUGAUCAGCCACACUGGAACUGAGACACGGUCCAGACUCCUACGGGAGGCAGCAGUGGGGAAUAUUGGACAAUGGGCGCAAGCCUGACCCAGCCAUACCGCGUGGGUGAAGAAGGCCUUCGGGUUGUAAAGCCCUUUUGUUGGGAAAGAACAGCAGUAGGUUAAUACCCAGCUGUUCUGACGGUACCCAAAGAAUAAGCACCGGCUAACUUCGUG